This is a long non-coding RNA of Lathyrus oleraceus (garden pea), 1737 nucleotides long. RefSeq lists it as uncharacterized. The record is from RefSeq and is a predicted model, not a curated record. The transcript has 2 exons. Lineage: Eukaryota; Viridiplantae; Streptophyta; Magnoliopsida; Fabales; Fabaceae.
UAGUAGAAUUAUGGUGCAAAUGGAGAAAUGGGCGCAAUGCCCAAUGGCCUUGGAUUUGUAGGCUGGGGGUGUAACUGACAAGGCAAUAAUGCAGAGAGCAUAUUGAAUGGGCUAGGGCCCUAAGGCCCAACUCCAAACACACAUGAGGGGAUUCACGCUCAUUUUCCAAAUAACCAUGUUCAGAUCACAAAAGAUGGCCAAACUAACCACAAUCGGACCUCUUCUCCUCCGUCGCGCCGGCAUCGCCUCCAACGGCGAUGGAGAGCCAAACAUAAAACUAAAUCCACCAUCCGAACCACCUCUAACUCUAAAUUCCAAAUCUAUCAACCAUUGAACCUAAUUCCAAAUCUAACAAUCAAAUCGAAACAGAAUAUGCACAAAACCUAAUCUACAAAACCAGAAAUUAAAUGAAGAUAACGAUGAAUCAAAGCCUCUCAUGAGAGGUAUUUGAUCCCAGGAACCAUGAACUACAUCCUACUAUCAUCCUCGAAGCCAAACAAAGCAGAAUAGAGCACCUAACUACCAGAGGAGAUGACAGAUACGGCGACGACGACAACGAAAUCCACAUGUUCCCAUUAGUGAACGGUUUAGAAACUGGUUCGAAAUGCCCGAUGGAAUGUUUGUUGCAGGUGAUAACUUGCUGCAGAGUUACUGGUUUGUGACACUUCUUGACAUGGUUUCUGUAGGAUCAUUUGAUAGCUCUUGUUGCAGUCGCUUGGCUUGGUUAUGCAUUGGCAGAUGGGUUCUGACUUACUUAUGGUUUUCACUGCAGUCUUAUGUUCAGUUUAUGUGCAGGUAUGAUGCACAGGGUUGUGGCUUCAUGUGAUAUGGCUUACAUCUCUUGACAUGUUCUGUGUUUCAAUUUUGACUUGUAUCCAUGUAUAACGACCAUGGUUUUAUGAACUGGUUCAGCAUGUGCGCAUUCCUUUGACUCUGCCUAGCUUCACAUAGUUCUACAAGUAUGGCUUGUGGUCUUGUUGGUUCUGCAAUGCACUACAUUCCUGACUUGGUUCGCAUCAUGGUUGCAGCUUGUAAUAUUGUGAAAUGGUUCUGCAUCAUGCUUAUUUUAUAGUAGGUAUGUUCAUUGUAAUUUUGACUUUGGUUUAAGCAUGUGUUGGCAAUGGUUCAUACAUGUAUGAAUCAUGUGCAUUUCUUGGCCUAUGUUUCUGACUUGUGUUGUUGGGUGGUCUUGUGUUCAGUUCAUGCUGACAAUGGUUCUGUAGUAGGUUUUCUCUUAGACUUCAUGUUUUUGCAGUAGGUAUGAGUGCAUGAUCUUGACUUGUCUCAUGUGUUAAUGGACUGCAUGGCUUGAUGGCAACUUGGCAUGUUCUACACUGCUUCAUAUUUGUGACUAGAGGAUUUAUUCUGAUUUGAGCUUUUGCAUCAUGCUUUGCCAAUAUUUCAUACUAGCUUCAUGUCAUGUGUUCACUUAUUUAGUUAGGUCUCUUGUAAGUCAUGUGCAUAUGGUAAUAAUGGUUGAACGAUGCAACAUGAUGACAUUAAGAUCGAAAUUUGGGAGCAUCAUGUACAAAUGGCAAACUCAAGGAUCAAGGAUCAAACUUAGGAUUAGAAAUAGGAUUGGGAUUUAAGGUUUUAGGAUGAAAAUGGAUUGAGUUGACUUUGUUUAAAGUUGACCAAAGUUAACACUUGGUCAAAGUUGCCAAAUUUUGUAAUUUUUUCAUGUAAUGAACAUUUGUAUGAUUAUGGAAUGAAUGGAAUUGACUAUUUUGAAUGAAA